CUCGUAGGUGGCCAACUAAGUCAGACGUGAAAUCCCCAGGCUUAACCUGGGAACUGCGUCUGAUACUGGAUGGCUUGAAUUCGGGAGAGGGAUGCAGAAUUCCAGGUGUAGCGGUGAAAUGCGUAGAUAUCUGGAGGAAUACCGGUGGCGAAGGCGGCAUCCUGGACCGAGAUUGACACUGAUGAGCGAAAGCCAGGGGAGCAAAC
This 206-nucleotide ribosomal RNA is filed under the name uncultured bacterium. Its description in RNAcentral is "partial 16S ribosomal RNA". It matches the Rfam family "Bacterial small subunit ribosomal RNA", at positions 568 to 773 of the family's 1533-position model. The record is from RNAcentral.